This 938-nucleotide ribosomal RNA is filed under the name Metarhizium anisopliae. RNAcentral's name for it is "partial large subunit ribosomal RNA". It matches the Rfam family "Eukaryotic large subunit ribosomal RNA", at positions 24 to 986 of the family's 3401-position model. The record is from RNAcentral. Lineage: Eukaryota; Fungi; Ascomycota; Sordariomycetes; Hypocreales; Clavicipitaceae.
UUUGUGGCCCCGGGGGAUAGCAUAUCAAUAAGCGGAGGAAAAGAAACCAACAGGGAUUGCCCCAGUAACGGCGAGUGAAGCGGCAACAGCUCAAAUUUGAAAUCUGGUCCCCAGGGCCCGAGUUGUAAUUUGCAGAGGAUGCUUUUGGUGAGGUGCCUUCCGAGUUCCCUGGAACGGGACGCCAUAGAGGGUGAGAGCCCCGUCUGGUUGGAUACCGAGCCUCUGUAAAGCUCCUUCGACGAGUCGAGUAGUUUGGGAAUGCUGCUCUAAAUGGGAGGUAUAUGUCUUCUAAAGCUAAAUAUUGGCCAGAGACCGAUAGCGCACAAGUAGAGUGAUCGAAAGAUGAAAAGCACUUUGAAAAGAGGGUUAAAUAGUACGUGAAAUUGUUGAAAGGGAAGCACUUAUGACCAGACUUGGCCCCGGUGAAUCAUCCAGCGGUUCCCGUUGGUGCACUUUGCCGGGGUUCAGGCCAGCAUCAGUUCGCUCCGGGGGAUAAAGGCUUUGGGAAUGUGGCUCCCUCGGGAGUGUUAUAGCCCAUUGCGCAAUACCCUGUGGCGGGCUGAGGUUCGCGCUUUAUGCAAGGAUGCUGGCAUAAUGGUCAUCAGUGACCCGUCUUGAAACACGGACCAAGGAGUCGUCUUCGUAUGCGAGUGUUCGGGUGUUAAACCCCUACGCGUAAUGAAAGUGAACGCAGGUGAGAGCCCUCCAGGGCGCAUCAUCGACCGAUCCUGAUGUUCUCGGAUGGAUUUGAGUAAGAGCAUACGGGGCCGGACCCGAAAGAAGGUGAACUAUGCCUGUAUAGGGUGAAGCCAGAGGAAACUCUGGUGGAGGCUCGCAGCGGUUCUGACGUGCAAUCGAUCGUCAAAUAUGGGCAUGGGGGCGAAGACUAAUCGACCUCUAGUAGCUGGUUCCGCCGAUCCCCCCUCCGAGAGUAUAAA